Molecule: ribosomal RNA, 258 nt
Filed under: uncultured bacterium
Lineage: Bacteria
Description: partial small subunit ribosomal RNA
Rfam family: Bacterial small subunit ribosomal RNA
Source: RNAcentral
AGGACGAACGCUGGCGGCGUGCUUAACACAUGCAAGUCGAGCGGUAAGGCCCUUUCGGGGGUACACGAGCGGCGAACGGGUGAGUAACACGUGGGUGACCUGCCCUUAGCUCUGGGAUAAGCCUGGGAAACUGGGUCUAAUACCGGAUAUGACCUCGCGAUGCAUGUCGUGGGGUGGAAAGCCUUGUGCGGCUAGGGAUGGGCCCGCGGCCUAUCAGCUUGUUGGUGGGGUGAUGGCCUACCAAGGCGACGACGGGUA